CGGAGUGGCGGACGGGUGAGGAAUACAUCGGAAUCUACUCUGUCGUGGGGGAUAACGUAGGGAAACUUACGCUAAUACCGCAUACGACCUACGGUGAAGCAGGGACCCUCGGGCCUUGCGCGAUUGAAUGAGCCGAUGUCGGAUUAGCUAGUUGGCGGGGUAAAGGCCCACCAAGGCGACGAUCCGUAGCUGGUCUGAGAGGAUGAUCAGCCACACUGGAACUGAGACACGGUCCAGACUCCUACGGGAGGCAGCAGGG
RNAcentral lists this ribosomal RNA (259 nucleotides) under uncultured Lysobacteraceae bacterium. Its description in RNAcentral is "uncultured Xanthomonadaceae bacterium partial 16S ribosomal RNA". It matches the Rfam family "Bacterial small subunit ribosomal RNA", at positions 91 to 354 of the family's 1533-position model. Lineage: Bacteria; Pseudomonadati; Pseudomonadota; Gammaproteobacteria; Lysobacterales; Lysobacteraceae. The record is from RNAcentral.